This 497-nucleotide ribosomal RNA is filed under the name uncultured bacterium. RNAcentral's name for it is "partial 16S ribosomal RNA". It matches the Rfam family "Bacterial small subunit ribosomal RNA", at positions 28 to 507 of the family's 1533-position model. The record is from RNAcentral.
GAUGAACGCUGGCGGCGUGCCUAAUACAUGCAAGUCGAGCGAACGGACGAGAAGCUUGCUUCUCUGAUGUUAGCGGCGGACGGGUGAGUAACACGUGGAUAACCUACCUAUAAGACUGGGAUAACUUCGGGAAACCGUAGCUAAUACCGGCUAAUAUUUUGAACCGCAUGGUUCAAAAGUGAAAGACGGUCUUGCUGUCACUUAUAGAUGGAUCCGCGCUGCAUUAGCUAGUUGGUAAGGUAACGGCUUACCAAGGCAACGAUGCGUAGCCGACCUGAGAGGGUGAUCGGCCACACUGGAACUGAGACACGGUCCAGACUCCUACGGGAGGCAGCAGUAGGGAAUCUUCCGCAAUGGGCGAAAGCCUGACGGAGCAACGCCGCGUGAGUGAUGAAGGUCUUCGGAUCGUAAAACUCUGUUAUUAGGGAAGAACAUAUGUGUAAGUAACUGUGCACAUCUUGACGGUACCUAAUCAGAAAGCCACGGCUAACUACGUG